This 77-nucleotide transfer RNA is filed under the name bacterium. Its description in RNAcentral is "tRNA-Pro". It matches the Rfam family "tRNA". Rfam says of the family: Transfer RNA (tRNA) molecules are approximately 80 nucleotides in length. Their secondary structure includes four short double-helical elements and three loops (D, anti-codon, and T loops). RNAcentral also lists the same sequence under 2 other names. The record is from RNAcentral.
CGGGGAGUAGCUCAGCCCGGUAGAGCGCCACGUUUGGGACGUGGAAGUCGGAGGUUCAAGUCCUCUCUCCCCGACCA